UGACAACANAGUUGUCUGNUCAGGAUGACGUAGUACAGGNUAACACAUGCAAUUCGAGGGCAGCAUGUCUUAGCUUGNUAAGACNGAUGGCGACCGGCGCACGGGUGAGUAACGCGUAUCCAACUUCCCCCACAGUAGCGGAUAGCCCGGCGAAAGUCGGAUUAAUACGCUAUGAGGUGCAGUAUUGGCAUCAUGGCCGCACGAAAGAUUUAUCGCUGUGGGAUGGGGAUGCGUCUGAUUAGCUUGUCGGCGGGGUAACGGCCCACCGAGGCGACGAUCAGUAGGGGUUCUGAGAGGAAGGUCCCCCACAUUGGUACUGAGACACGGACCAAACUCCUACGGGAGGCAGCAGUGAGGAAUAUUGGUCAAUGGCCGGAAGGCUGAACCANCCAAGUANCGUGCANGACGACGGCCUACGGGUUGUAAACUGCUUUUAUANGGGAAUAAAUUUUGGUACUUUUCCGUUUGUAUUUACCUAUGAUAAGACGCUAAUCCGUGCACACCNCGUAUACGAAGUCCGGCUUUCCGAUUAUGGUUUAAGGACCAGCGGACUAACUUUGUAAUUUCGNCCCGUA
This 575-nucleotide ribosomal RNA is filed under the name uncultured rumen bacterium 648pARRO. RNAcentral's name for it is "bacterial SSU rRNA". It matches the Rfam family "Bacterial small subunit ribosomal RNA", at positions 1 to 598 of the family's 1533-position model. The record is from RNAcentral. Lineage: Bacteria; Pseudomonadati; Bacteroidota.